Molecule: transfer RNA, 90 nt
Filed under: Candidatus Brennerbacteria bacterium CG23_combo_of_CG06-09_8_20_14_all_44_41
Lineage: Bacteria; Candidatus Brenneribacteriota
Description: tRNA-Ser
Rfam family: tRNA
About the family: Transfer RNA (tRNA) molecules are approximately 80 nucleotides in length. Their secondary structure includes four short double-helical elements and three loops (D, anti-codon, and T loops). Further hydrogen bonds mediate the characteristic L-shaped molecular structure. tRNAs have two regions of fundamental functional importance: the anti-codon, which is responsible for specific mRNA codon recognition, and the 3' end, to which the tRNAs corresponding amino acid is attached (by aminoacyl-tRNA synthetases). tRNAs cope with the degeneracy of the genetic code in two manners: having more than one tRNA (with a specific anti-codon) for a particular amino acid; and 'wobble' base-pairing, i.e. permitting non-standard base-pairing at the 3rd anti-codon position.
Source: RNAcentral
GGAGGAGUCGCAUAGUGGCCUAGUGCGGCACGGUGCUAACGUGCUAACCCUGAAAGGGGUUCGUGGGUUCGAAUCCCACCUCCUCCGCCA